CAGUAGCCACGGGAAUACGGAGGGGGCUAGCGUUGUUCGGAAUUACUGGGCGUAAAGCGCACGUAGGCGGCUUGGUAAGUUAGAGGUGAAAGCCUGGAGCUCAACUCCAGAAUUGCCUUUAAGACUGCCGAGCUAGCAGGUGAGAGAGGUAAGUGGAAUUCCGAGUGUAGAGGUGAAAUUCGUAGAUAUUCGGAAGAACACCAGUGGCGAAGGCGGCUUACUGGCUCAUACUGGACGCUGAGGUGCGAAAGCGUGGGGAGCAAACAGGAUUAGAUACCCCAGUAGUCCCUGUCUCUUAUAU
Molecule: ribosomal RNA, 301 nt
Filed under: uncultured bacterium
Lineage: Bacteria
Description: partial 16S ribosomal RNA
Rfam family: Bacterial small subunit ribosomal RNA
Source: RNAcentral